UACGUAGGGGGCGAGCGUUGUCCGGAAUUACUGGGCGUAAAGCGCGCGCAGGCGGCCUAUUAAGUCAGGUGUUAAAAUGCGGAGCUUAACUCCGUAUCGCACUUGAAACUGGUAGGCUUGAGUGCAGGAGAGGGAAGUGGAAUUCCCAGUGUAGCGGUGAAAUGCGUAGAUAUUGGGAGGAACACCAGUGGCGAAGGCGACUUCCUGGACUGUAACUGACGCUCAGGCGC
RNAcentral lists this ribosomal RNA (230 nucleotides) under uncultured microorganism. RNAcentral describes it as "partial 16S ribosomal RNA". It matches the Rfam family "Bacterial small subunit ribosomal RNA", at positions 524 to 754 of the family's 1533-position model. The record is from RNAcentral.